GUGUGGUUCUUGCUGUGUUUUUAGACAGAAUCAACGGUUUCUGGGUCUGAGAUGUUGCAUACAUCCUCUCAGUCCCUGUAUCCUGAGAUGGAGUCGCCUGAGAAUCCACAGCAAGUCCUAACCAGGGAUGGGUCUGGGUGAUUAAGGAAGGUUGGCUUCAGAACUGGGCCAGGGGCUUUGCUUUUGCUGUUUUGAUCAGCUCUCUGCCUGCAGGAGACAAGGAAAACCAAUGGGAACAGCUGGGGAAACUGAGUUACAGAGCUUAUCCGCACUGAGUCAACAGGAGCAAAUGCUAGAUCAGAUAGGGUCUGUCUCUCUGCCACCCAGGCCAGAGUGCAGUUGAUGCAGGGCAGGGGAGCCCCGAAGUGGAGCAUAGUGUGUCCGGAACUGGUGGGUUCUUGGUCUCACUGACUUCAAGAAUGAAGCUGCAGACCCUCGCG
RNAcentral lists this long non-coding RNA (440 nucleotides) under Pongo abelii (Sumatran orangutan). Its description in RNAcentral is "lincRNA". Lineage: Eukaryota; Metazoa; Chordata; Mammalia; Primates; Hominidae. The record is from RNAcentral.